GCCCCUCCCCUCCCCCGCGCUCUGAUAUGGUCACGUUCAUGCCCCCUUGUGCUGCUGGGCGAUGGAGGAUGGAGCCUGCUUGCCGGCGAAGAACAGCCUUGGGCAUUUCCAAAGCAGAAUUGGGCCAGUGCUUCCACAGCCGUGCCCACGAGGCCUUAGCCCCAUCCCCAGUGGGGGGCUUUGCCCUUCGUCUCCUCAGUGCCCUGGGAGUAAUGGUCCUCGCCCAUAAAGAGGGAUUGGCUCAGACAUGGCUGAGUGACCCACAUACGUGCAUGAGCUGCGGGAACAUCGGGGGCAGCUCUGCGGGGCCCAUUAACCCUGAUCCACAAGAAUGACCAGGGCCUGUGGGACACAGGAAUGGCCAGACUGGCGCAGGGCAGGAUCCAACGAGUCCAAUAUCCCAUUGCUGACCAUGGCCAGUGCCAGCUGCUUCAGUGCAAGAGACCUGAAAGGAGGCCAGGAUGGAAGAACAGGCCCCAAGAGGACAUUGCUUCCUAACCCCAGAUAGUUUGUGGUUGGCUCAAGACCUGAAGCAUGAAGGUUUAUGUCUGUUCUAAUUUCUUUGAUCCUGUUUAACAUAGCUGUGGAUUUUCUCAUUAGCCAUAAAAACGUAUAAUCCUUUCUAGAAUCCUCGACCUCAGUGAGAACUUGUGGCAAGGAGUUCCACAAGCUAACUGCGCGUUUGUUUCACUUGCCAUUUCGGCCAGCAGCCCAAGCAGUUCUCGGGGGUUAUAAAACCUCCUUAGCCACCCUCCCAACAGCAAAAAUCCAUGACAUUUGAGCUUUAAAAAGCAUUUAGCACCAGAGCUUUUCUAUCACUGAAAAAUUCUUGGCACUAGACAGAACCCAUAAAACAAUCCUUUUAUGCGUCUCCCUUCACCCUCAGCUUGCUUUUGCAGGGGAGGGAUUUGUAUGGAUUAAUUUCUUUUUGCAGCGGGUGGAAUACAGCUGGAAGAGACACUCGCCUGUGUAUGUGUGUGAAAGAGACAGUGCCCUGUCGAUUUUUUUCAUAUCUCCUAGCGCAGAUUUACCCCUUUAUCCCAGUUCCACGGCACUGCCAUUCCCCUCGCAUAGCGUUUCUGUGCAAACCACCGCCAGGAUUACAAACCCCCUCUUUGUCUACAGAGCUGCGAGGCCCAAACAAUCCCAGCUCUCUCCCUCCGCCUCCUCGCUCCUGGGCUCCUGCCAAACGCCAUCUCAAGUGAAAGCAAACAG
RNAcentral lists this long non-coding RNA (1215 nucleotides) under Chrysemys picta bellii (western painted turtle). RNAcentral's name for it is "lncRNA (ENSCPBG00000022928.1)". Lineage: Eukaryota; Metazoa; Chordata; Testudines; Emydidae. The record is from RNAcentral.